Long non-coding RNA from Nerophis lumbriciformis (worm pipefish), 501 nucleotides. RefSeq lists it as uncharacterized. Lineage: Eukaryota; Metazoa; Chordata; Actinopteri; Syngnathiformes; Syngnathidae. The record is from RefSeq and is a predicted model, not a curated record.
AACUUUUGCAAUAACUACCUGUGUGUGAAUCUGAACCAGUGUUUAUGCAAAUGUCCGGAUCACUGGUGGCAAGAAAUAAUUUUUCUUUUGUUUUCCGCAGAUGUUUUGUUCUUCUCCUGUACAGUCUUUCGUCUGGUUUACGGACAAUAAACGAUCUCGGCUGCUCAUGUUCCAUAAUGACCACAGCUGGCUGCCACAUCUCUUCUCUUUGCAUCCUUACAUUUUCACCUGCCUCCAGAGAGGAGGAUCUUUUCUCCAAUUUCAUCAUGAGUCAUGGGCCACCAGGGAAAAUCUUCCAUCUGUCCAGAACCACUACUGGCCAGCAAGUGGCAGUAUAGUCUCAGCUUGAUGAUGAAAAUAGGUCGUGGGGGGUGCUGGAGCCUAUCUCAGCUGCAUUCAGGUGGAAUGUGGGGUACACCCUGGACAAGUCGCCACCUCAUCGCAGGGCCUCUAGUUAAUUGUAUCAUCUAUUAUUGUACCUAUUAAAUUGGUUUAUUUUAC